CUCCAGGCAGCCUCAUCCCUCACUGCAGCUCUGGAAGCCUUUGUGACACCUGAGCAGCUGGAUGGUGAAAACUGCUUUAAAUGCAACAAAUGCUCUGAUCUGAGGCUUGGAGAAAAGGCUUCUUCCUCGCUGGCACCAUCAUAUGCGCCAUCCAUCCUCAGUCAGUGGGCAGCCUGCAGCAAGCAGGUGGCUUCUGUAGUCCCACAGGAUUUGCCUGACAGGACAAAGGAUAUGGUGCUGAGUGUGGAAGACCCGGGCCAGGAGGAGGCACAGAGCGCAUCCCCACUGUGGAGCGGGGAAGGCUACAGCUGUUUUUUGGACACCGCAGACUGUGAUGACGCUACAGGGAGGAACACGGGCCCUCCAAGUUGUGGCCAUGAUGCCAAGGAUGAUGCAGCUUCAGGACCUUCCAACAGGAGCUUGGAGUCAGCCUGUGGACCUGGGGAUGCUUGGGAGGAAACCCUGCUGAGGCAGAAAGAGACAAGCAGAUCCGCGUGGAGCGGCUACGACCUCCACAGCCGAAAACAAAUUCUCCCUGUUGUGACCACACCUCCUGUUGACAGUGCAGUUCGAGGGCCAUCCUGCAGCAGCUUGAGGCAGGCUCCCAUGCUUAAGGCUGGUCAAGAGGAAAUCCAACCACGGUGGAGAGAGCAGAGAAGAUCCCCAGAGCAUGGCUGUGACCUCCAUGGCCGUUCUGGGCAGUGCACAGACCAUCCCCGCUCUCUGAGCUAGAGGAGGAGAACAAAUCCUCCAGGAUGUGACAAAGCUCCAGGGGACAGUGCAGCUUCAGGGUUGUAGUUCAUUUAUUUAGUUUGGUUAAGGAUUUGUUGAAGCUUGUUAGGACGUUCUUGUUCCCCCUGUUGAUUGUAUUGGUUAGGCCCCAGUUGUCAGUUAUGUAACCCCCUCCUAUUUUACCUAAAUGUUCCCUGCCAAUCACCUUAGCCGUGCCCCUACCCUCCUAUCCAUCAUAGUAAACCCCAUCCCUUCUUCCAGAGCCUUCUGUAUCAAUCAAUUAUACCUCGAGGUCCCACUGGUUGCUGUAUCUUGCUCCCUCCCUCUGAACCCCUAUU
Cyanistes caeruleus (blue tit) is the source of this 1070-nucleotide non-coding RNA. The record is from RefSeq and is a predicted model, not a curated record. Lineage: Eukaryota; Metazoa; Chordata; Aves; Passeriformes; Paridae.